RNAcentral lists this unclassified non-coding RNA (1031 nucleotides) under Actinia tenebrosa (Australian red waratah sea anemone). RNAcentral describes it as "tRNA-dihydrouridine(20a/20b) synthase [NAD(P)+]-like, transcript variant X1". The record is from RNAcentral. Lineage: Eukaryota; Metazoa; Cnidaria; Anthozoa; Actiniaria; Actiniidae.
UUCAACAUGGCGGACGAAGAUNAAGAAAACGAAGAAAACAUUGAGAGCUCGCCUUGGCAGUAUAAAAAACCUCUAGAAUUGUUUGAAGAAAAGAAAAUAUUAAGAAUCUGUGCUCCAAUGGUUAGGUAUUCAAAGUUAGCGUUUAGGGAAUUGGUUAGGAGAUAUGGCUGCGACUUGUGUUACACACCAAUGAUUAUUUCAGAUUCAUUUGUUAAAUCACAGAAGGCAAGGGAUAAUGAAUUCACCACCAACGCAGGUGAUCGUCCUCUCAUAGUCCAGUUUGCUGCCAGUUGUGCCAAAGAUUUUGCAGAUGCUUCAGAGAUGGUUGCACAGUUUGCAGAUGGUGUUGAUUUGAACUGUGGCUGUCCACAAAGGUGGGCUAUGCAGGAGGGGUAUGGUGCUUUUCUGAUAAAAAGACCUGAGCUGAUUCAAGAUAUGGUACGACAAACGAAAUCAAGAGUCAAUGAUUUACCUGUUUCUAUCAAAAUAAGAAUUGAUAAAGAUCCUAGCAAAACUAUAGAACUGUGUCGACAAGCAGAACAUGCUGGUGCAUCAUGGAUAAGCAUCCAUGCCAGAACAGUGAAACAAAGAAAUGAACCACCAACCUGGGAUGUUGUAAAGCUGGUAAAGGACAGUGUAUCAAUACCUGUUAUUGCCAAUGGAGACAUAAAAUGUGAAACAGAUGUUAUAAAGGUUUAUGAACAGACGGGAGUUAAUGGUGUUAUGGCAGCGCAAGGAAUACUAAAUAACCCAGCAAUGUAUGCUGGGUAUGAUUGUACUCCAUUACAAUGCAUAUCUGACUGGGUAUGAUUAGAAGCAGUCUCCUUGGCAUCCANUAUGACUGUUGUCAUGGCACUCCAUCCAAAGGAGAGAUCACAUGGCAUGAUGCACUAAAACCGGAUGCAAAGGAUACUAGAUUAGGAUUACCAACUUCAUAAUUAUUAUUGACAUUUCACUGUCCCUUGGCACUCCAUUUUCUGCAUUCCACCAUCAUCUUAUAUUCAUGUUGGAUAAGAUUUUAUCCAAAGCAG